This 782-nucleotide ribosomal RNA is filed under the name marine metagenome. Its description in RNAcentral is "bacterial SSU rRNA". It matches the Rfam family "Archaeal small subunit ribosomal RNA", at positions 415 to 1196 of the family's 1478-position model. The record is from RNAcentral.
CUGUAUAACUAGCCGUGGGAAUAAGAGGGGGGCAAGACUGGUGUCAGCCGCCGCGGUAACACCAGCCCCUCGAGUGGUGGGGAUGAUUAUUUGGCCUAAAGCGUCCGUAGCUGGCCCUGUAAAUCUCUCGUUAAAUCCAACGUCCUAAGCGUUGGGCUGCGAGGGUAACUGCAGAGCUAGAGGGUGGGAGAGGUCAGCGGUAUUCCUGGGGUAGGGGCGAAAUCCAUUGAUCCCAGGAGGACCACCAGUGGCGAAGGCUGCUGACUUGAACACGCCUGACGGUGAGGGACGAAAGCUGGGGUAGCGAAUCGGAUUAGAUACCCGAGUAGUCCCAGCUGUAAACGAUGCAGGCUAGGUGUUGAGCUGGCCAUGUGCUGGCUCAGUGCCACAGGGAAGCCAUUAAGCCUGCCGCCUGGGGAGUACGGCCGCAAGGCUGAAACUUAAAGGAAUUGGCGGGGGAGCACCACCAGGCGUGAAGCCUGCGGUUUAAUUGGAGUCAACGCCGGGAAUCUUACCGGGAGCGACAGCAGAAUGAAGGCCAGGUUGAAGGUCUUGCUGGACGAGCUGAGAGGUGGUGCAUGGCCGUCGCCAGUUCGUGCCGUGAGGUGUCCUCUUAAGUGAGGUAACGAACGAGACCCGUGCCCCAUGUUGCUAACAGUAUCUAAAGGAUAGCUGAGCACUCGUAGGGGACCGCAGCCGACAAGGCUGAGGAAGGUGCGGGCCACGGCAGGUCAGUAUGCCCCGAAUCUCCCGGGCCACACGCGGGCUGCAAUGGUAGUGAC